AGGGAAUCUUCCGCAAUGGACGAAAGUCUGACGGAGCAACGCCGCGUGAGUGAUGAAGGUUUUCGGAUCGUAAAGCUCUGUUGCCAGGGAAGAACGUCUUCUGGAGUAACUGCCGGUACCUUGACGGUACCUGACCAGAAAGCCACGGCUAACUACGUGCCAGCAGCCGCGGUAAUACGUAGGUGGCAAGCGUUGUCCGGAAUUAUUGGGCGUAAAGCGCGCGCAGGCGGUCCUUUAAGUCUGAUGUGAAAGCCCACGGCUCAACCGUGGAGGGUCAUUGGAAACUGGGGGACUUGAGUGCAGAAGAGGAAAGCGGAAUUCCACGUGUAGCGGUGAAAUGCGUAGAGAUGUGGAGGAACACCAGUGGCGAAGGCGGCUUUCUGGUCUGUAACUGACGCUGAGGCGCGAAAGCGUGGGGAGCAAAC
This 425-nucleotide ribosomal RNA is filed under the name uncultured bacterium. RNAcentral's name for it is "bacterial SSU rRNA". It matches the Rfam family "Bacterial small subunit ribosomal RNA", at positions 356 to 773 of the family's 1533-position model. The record is from RNAcentral.